UAAUUUAUAUAAAAUAUUUUGGAUGAAUAUUUAUAUAAUAUUAACAUAAUUCAUAUUACUAUAUAUUUUAGUAUAUGAAAUUUUACUUUGAGAAAAUUAGAGUGCUUAAAGCAGGCAUAUGCCUUGAAUACUCCAGCAUGGAAUAAUAUUAAAGAUUUUUAUCUUUCUUAUUGGUUCUAAGAUAAGAAUAAUGAUUAAUAGGGACAGUUGGGGGCAUUUGUAUUUAACAGUCAGAGGUGAAAUUCUUAGAUUUGUUAAAGACAAACUAAUGCGAAAGCAUUUGCCAAGGAUGUUUUCAUUAAUCAAGAACGAAAGUUAGGGGAUCGAAGACGAUCAGAUACCGUCGUAGUCUUAACCAUAAACUAUGCCAACUAGAGAUUGGAGGUUGUUCCUUACUCCUUCGC
RNAcentral lists this ribosomal RNA (404 nucleotides) under Cryptosporidium parvum. RNAcentral's name for it is "SSU rRNA". It matches the Rfam family "Eukaryotic small subunit ribosomal RNA", at positions 670 to 1083 of the family's 1831-position model. Lineage: Eukaryota; Apicomplexa; Conoidasida; Eucoccidiorida; Cryptosporidiidae. The record is from RNAcentral.